AAGGAUUUAAGUUAAAUAAACUAUUAACCUUCAAAGUUAAAAAAAUAAUUGUCAUUAUAAACCUUA
This 66-nucleotide transfer RNA is filed under the name Cosmoscarta bispecularis. RNAcentral's name for it is "tRNA-Trp". Lineage: Eukaryota; Metazoa; Arthropoda; Insecta; Hemiptera; Cercopidae. The record is from RNAcentral.